Molecule: long non-coding RNA, 874 nt
Filed under: Cicer arietinum (chickpea)
Lineage: Eukaryota; Viridiplantae; Streptophyta; Magnoliopsida; Fabales; Fabaceae
Description: long non-coding RNA (CARI_LNC001008)
Source: RNAcentral
CUUUUUUGUGUGUGCAGUUUUUAUUUUUAUUUUUAAUAUGUAUGUUAGAUCAGUUCAAUUAGAACUGAUCUAAUAAAAUUUAUUAUAAUAAUAAAUUUACCAUAGCUUUUUUGUGUGUGCAGUUUUUAUUUUUAUUUUUAAUAUGUAUGUUAGAUCAGUUCAAUUAGAACAGAUCUAACAAAGUUUACCAUAAUAACAAAUUUGACACCAUCUUACUUAUUACAUUGGAUGUAUAACAACCGAUCUAAUAUCGAUGAUGUAACAAGGUUAAAAUGCACUACUGAAACACUAACAUAAUAAAUACUAAUUUGUUAAGAAAAAAAAAGGUGAAGAAUUAAUUCUACACGCAUAAUUAAGAUAAAUGAUAUCUAUACAAAUUUUGCUAAAAUACACAAAAUGCAUGAAUUUUUGUUGUUGUCUUAUAUGAGAAAUUAAUAUAAGCAAAUUAAUGUAUAAUAUUGCAUAUGAUAAACCUCAUUAAAUUUUUAUUUUUUUCAUUACCUAUUUUUUCUAUUUGGUGAGAAUAGAAAGAUUACAGUGAGGCAAAUCCAUAAAACAAAUAAACAAAUAAUGAUGUAAUAAUAUUUUGCGGGAAAUAAUGAACAUCGUAAAUGUUAGAAAAGUUUGUUUUAUGAGACUUAUAAUUUGUUUCAAAUGUAGUUAGGUUAGAAGAAUAUUCCUUCUUAUCCUGCAAAACAAAAAGUAAUAUUCCUUAUAAUCAUAACCAUGAAGGGAAUCUUAAUAUUUAGAAAGAGUCCAUUCAACAAACUCAAAGAAAAACUUGUACAUUAUGCACCACGUCAAUAUCCCUUAUAAUGCUUUCCUAUGUCUAGCUAAUAAGAGUGUGUUAAGGGUCAUUUGGCCUUAAGAUCAC